AUGGCCAUGGGCGGCGGUGGCCGCGGCAGCGGUGACGGUGGCCGCGGUAUUCCUGAGGCAGAGGACUCGGUGGGGUUCCGGAGGGGCACAGGCCAGAGUGAUGAUUCGGACAUUUGGGAUGAUACAGCAUUGAUAAAAGCUUAUGAUAAAGCUGUGGCUUCAUUUAAGCACGCUCUAAAGAAUGGUGACAUUUCCGAAGCUUCAGAUAAACCAAAAGCCACACCUAAAAGAAAACCUCCUAAGAAGAAUAAAAACCAAAAAAAGAAUAACACAGCUUCCUUGAAGCAGUGGAAGGUUGGUGACAGAUGUUCUGCCAUUUGGUCGGAAGAUGGCUGCAUUUACCCAGCUACCAUUGAUUCUGUUUAAGAGAGAAACCUGUAUUGUGGUUUACACUGGAUAUGGACAUAGAGAAGAGCAAAAUCUGUAUGAUUUACUUUCCCCCACUUCUGAAGUAGCUAAUAAUAUAGAAGAGAAUGCUCAGGAGAACGAAAAUGAAAGUCAAAUUUCCACGGAUGAAAGUGAGAGCUCCUCCAGGUCUCCUGGAAAUAAGCCAAAUAACAUCAAGUCAAAAGCUGCUCCAUGGAACACUUUUCUCCCUCCACCACCCCCUAUGCCAGGAGCAGGUCUUGGACCAAGAAAGCCAGGUCUAAAAUUCAAUGGCCCACCACCACCUCCACCACCAUCGCCGCUGCGCCACACUUCCUGUCAUGCUGGCUGCCUCCAUUUCCUUCUGGACCACCAAUAAUUCCCCCACCACCUCCUAUAUGUCCAGAUUCUCUGGAUGAUGCUGAUGCUUUGGGAAGUAUGUUAAUCUCCUGGUACAUGAAUGGCUAUCAUACUGGUUACUCUAUGGGGUUCACACAAAAUCAAAAAGAAGGAAGGUGCUCACAUUUCAAUUAA
Phacochoerus africanus (Common warthog) is the source of this 900-nucleotide RNA transcript. It is a transcript of the gene named survival motor neuron protein-like, with no coding region annotated. The record is from RefSeq and is a predicted model, not a curated record. The transcript has a single exon. NCBI's taxonomy places the organism in Eukaryota, Metazoa, Chordata, Mammalia, Artiodactyla, Suidae.